AGUAUCAUUAAGUGAAUACAUAGCUUAAUGAGGGGAACUCAGGGAACUGAAACAUCUAAGUACCUGAAGGAAGAGAAAGAAAUUCGAUUCCGUAAGUAGCGGCGAGCGAACGCGGAUUAGCCCAAACCAAUAAAGUUUUCUUUAUUGGGGUUGCGGACAUAUCAUAACGAAGAGGUAUCGUAAUUGAAGAGGUUUGGAAAGACCCACCACAGAAGGUAAUAGUCCUGUAUGUUAAACGAGAAGACUUUAGAUAUGAUCCAGAGUACCACGGGACACGUGAAACCCUGUGGGAAGCAGGAGGGACCACCCUCCAAGGCUAAAUACUACCUAGUGACCGAUAGCGUAUAGUACCGUGAGGGAAAGGUGAAAAGAACCCCGGGAGGGGAGUGAAAUAGAACCUGAAACCCUGCACUUACAAGCUGUGGAAGCACAUUUCUUGUGUGACCGCGUACUUUUUGUAGAACGGGCCAACGAGUUACGUUAAGUAGCAAGGUUAAGCACUUAAGGUGGGGGGCCGUAGCGAAAGCGAGUUUUAACUGAGCGUUCAGUAACUUGACGUAGACCCGAAACCGGGCGACCUACCCAUGAGCAGGAUGAAGCGAAAGGAAAAGUUCGUGGAGGUCCGAACCCACGAGCGUUGAAAAGCUCGGGGAUGACUUGUGGGUAGCGGUGAAAUUCCAAUCGAGCCCGGAGAUAGCUGGUUCUCCCCGAAAUAGCUUUAGGGCUAGCCUCAAGGUGAGAGAUACGGAGGUAGAGCACUGAAUGUCCUAGGGGGUAUUGCACCUACCGAAGACUAUCAAACUCCGAAUGCCGUCAUCUUAUACUUGGGAGUCAGACUGUGGGUGAUAAGAUUCAUAGUCGAAAGGGCAACAGCCCAGAUCGUCAGCUAAGGUCCCUAAAUGUAAGUUAAGUGGUAAAGGAUGUGGGAUUGCACAGACAACCAGGAUGUUGGCUUAGAAGCAGCCACUCAUUCAAAGAGUGCGUAAUAGCUCACUGGUCGAGUGAUCCUGCGCCGAAGAUUUCCGGGGCUAAAACUUACUACCGAAGCUACGGCAUCAGUAAUGAUGGGUAGGGGAGCUUCCCAUACGGGUUGAAGCAUGACCGUAAGGACAUGUGGACAGUAUGGGAGUGAGAAUGUUGGCAUGAGUAGCGAGAUGUGGGUGAGAAUCCCACAGGCCGUAAACCCAAGGUUUCCAGGGGAAGGUUCGUCCGCCCUGGGUUAGUCGGGACCUAAGCUGAGGCCGAAAGGCGUAGGUGAUGGACAACAGGUUGAUAUUCCUGUACUACCGAU
Molecule: ribosomal RNA, 1291 nt
Filed under: Clostridioides difficile
Lineage: Bacteria; Bacillati; Bacillota; Clostridia; Peptostreptococcales; Peptostreptococcaceae
Description: bacterial LSU rRNA
Rfam family: Bacterial large subunit ribosomal RNA
Source: RNAcentral